GAUGAAGAACGCAGCGAAAUGCGAUAAGUAAUGUGAAUUGCAGAAUUCAGUGAAUCAUCGAAUCUUUGAACGCACAUUGCGCCCAUUAGUAUUCUAUUGGGCAUGCCUGUUCGAGCGUCAUUUUGACCACUUAAGCCUGGCUUAGUGUUGGGAAUCUACUUUUGUAGUUCCUUAAAUCUAGUGGCGGAGCCGCAGUGGCCUCUGAGCGUAGUAAUUUUUUCUCGCUUUGGAAGGUUCUGUAGUUUUUGCCAUAAAACCCCCAAUUUUUUAAGGUUGACCUCGGAUCAGGUAGGAAUACCCGCUGAACUUAAGCAUAUCAAUAAGCGGAGGA
This 331-nucleotide unclassified non-coding RNA is filed under the name soil metagenome. RNAcentral describes it as "partial contains 5.8S ribosomal RNA, internal transcribed spacer 2, and large subunit ribosomal RNA". The stretch from base 1 to 120 matches the Rfam family "5.8S ribosomal RNA", at positions 35 to 154 of the family's 154-position model. The record is from RNAcentral.